GUCGAACGGCAGCACGGGGGCAACCCUGGUGGCGAGUGGCGAACGGGUGAGUAAUACAUCGGAACGUGUCCUGUAGUGGGGGAUAGCCCGGCGAAAGCCGGAUUAAUACCGCAUACGAUCUACGGAAGAAAGCGGGGGAUCGCAAGACCUCGCGCUAUGGGGGCGGCCGAUGGCAGAUUAGCUAGUUGGUGGGGUAAAGGCCUACCAAGGCGACGAUCUGUAGCUGGUCUGAGAGGACGACCAGCCACACUGGGACUGAGACACGGCCCAGACUCCUACGGGAGGCAGCAGUGGGGAAUUUUGGACAAUGGGGGAAACCCUGAUCCAGCAAUGCCGCGUGUGUGAAGAAGGCCUUCGGGUUGUAAAGCACUUUUGUCCGGAAAGAAAACUUCUCCAUUAAUACCGGGGGAGGAUGACGGUACCGGAAGAAUAAGCACCGGCUAACUACGUGCCAGCAGCCGCGGUAAUACGUAGGGUGCGAGCGUUAAUCGGAAUUACUGGGCGUAAAGCGUGCGCAGGCGGUUCGUUAAGACAGAUGUGAAAUCCCCGGGCUUAACCUGGGAACUGCAUUUGUGACUGUCGAGCUAGAGUAUGGCAGAGGGGGGUAGAAUUCCACGUGUAGCAGUGAAAUGCGUAGAGAUGUGGAGGAAUACCGAUGGCGAAGGCAGCCCCCUGGGCCAAUACUGACGCUCAUGCACGAAAGCGUGGGGAGCAAACAGGAUUAGAUACCCUGGUAGUCCACGCCCUAAACGAUGUCAACUAGUUGUUGGGGAUUCAUUUCCUUAGUAACGUAGCUAACGCGUGAAGUUGACCGCCUGGGGAGUACGGUCGCAAGAUUAAAACUCAAAGGAAUUGACGGGGACCCGCACAAGCGGUGGAUGAUGUGGAUUAAUUCGAUGCAACGCGAAAAACCUUACCUACCCUUGACAUGGUCGGAACCCUGCUGAGAGGUGGGGGUGCUCGAAAGAGAACCGAUACACAGGUGCUGCAUGGCUGUCGUCAGCUC
RNAcentral lists this ribosomal RNA (1006 nucleotides) under Caballeronia udeis. RNAcentral's name for it is "bacterial SSU rRNA". It matches the Rfam family "Bacterial small subunit ribosomal RNA", at positions 61 to 1061 of the family's 1533-position model. The record is from RNAcentral. Lineage: Bacteria; Pseudomonadati; Pseudomonadota; Betaproteobacteria; Burkholderiales; Burkholderiaceae.